GUCGAUUUGAUGAGCUCUCCAACAAGCCCGAUGUUCCUGCUGAUGAUUAGUCUACAAAGUAUCUAAUGGGCAAUUCUCCAUGGAGAGAAUGGUCAUUGCUCAUUGAGAGGAUGGUGAAUGGCUUUUGAUUAGAUUUUAGGGAACAGGGAUGCCUCCAAAAUGAUCCCAUUGGCUAGGACUUUGAAGAGGACAAACUCUUGUAAGAACAGGACCUCCACUGUGCCAGCAUCUAAAGGUGCAUUUCCCCUAGUCUUCGGAGAAGAGUUUUUUAUCAUGGAUGUGUACCUUCUGCUUGCAUCUCAAACAUCACUAGAUUCUCUGAGGUUUAGAGGCAGCAGGACGUUGUGGAUACAGUACUGUAUUUCCAUCGGGGAAACCUGGGUUUGAAUCCUGCCUCAGAUUCUUGGGAUUCUGGGCUAUAAAUUGAAGAGAAAGCAUCCAUCUUCAUUGACAGAGAAAGUGCUUCACCUGAAGCUUCCUUUACAUAUGAAAUCAUGAGUCUGGUCAAAAAGAAAUUGAUGGAACCAUAAACAAGAGGAUCCUCUCUGCAACUAUUGAGGGUGGGGUAUUUAUGGAAAAAAACAUCAGCCAUGUUGCCCAAGCUCUAGCUGUGUAUUUGUACUUCUCUGGUCAUGGCUAGAAUGCCGUGUGUUCUUAGUAGAAAUGGUGGUGUUUGGACUUUAUUGCUGAAUGACUUUAGAAUUCUUAACAGAAAUUUCAGGAAGCCAGAGGCUUCUAGGCAAUAUGUGGACCAUAGGGAAAGGAUCCACCAAUUUUGCUUCCACUGAUUUUUAUGGCAUAUUCAUUUGCCUGGAUUGAUCUGUAUAUAGAUUACCCUUGAAUAGAAGCUAUUUCACUUAAUUGAGAUCCAAAACUAACUAUGUUUCACUGACUUCUAAAAAUGUGGUCUGCAGUAAUAUAAUCAGCCACUUAUAAGACCAGACAAAAUAUUUGAAUACUACAUACCACCUUUUACCCUUUUCCUAGAAUUAAUAAAGAAAUCAAUGCACUUAAAAAAUAAGAUCA
RNAcentral lists this long non-coding RNA (1026 nucleotides) under Monodelphis domestica (gray short-tailed opossum). RNAcentral describes it as "lncRNA (ENSMODG00000032442.2)". The record is from RNAcentral. Lineage: Eukaryota; Metazoa; Chordata; Mammalia; Didelphimorphia; Didelphidae.